CGCCAACAGAUUCCUGCAGCGCAAAUGAGGUCUGCUGGGCUCCGCUACCUGUCUUCACCACUUCCUCUACUAAGCUGUUGCUGCAAUUAGCUGAGAAUGUCAGUUCGUUAGGUGAGAGCACUUAGCUCAGACAGCGAGAGUUCCGGCUCUCCAUUGGCAGUAGUAGGGGUGGAAAGUGGCAUUCAGAAGAACCCAAGUAAGAAGUAAAAUCUUUCUAAAAUGGUACGGCUACUUAAAAAUUUUUUGAAAACGUAUAUGGCAUUUAUUUUAUUUACUUUUUCUUAUUUUUAAUAUUGGGAGGAUCCAUUCAAUCUUUUUCCUUUUCUUCCCCCAACCCUGGAAAAUUCUGUGUUUUUUAAGAAUCUUAAUUUUGGUGACCCAAUCCCCAUUGUUCUACAUUGCUGCAUUUUGCUUGAAUAGUUAAGGAACAGAACUCAUCUUUAUAGGAUCCUGGCUUCAUUACAUUUGGAGUCUAAAAAAGACAAAAUUAAUUCACCUACAUUUUGCAUAUUUAAACUUAUAAUUUUAUUUUUGCAUUUUCUAGAGAUAUACAAUUAUUAUACUUUCCUGCAAUAAAUGUUUUUUAACCCACAACCAUGGAUGAGGUUAAAUUAACAGCUUGCAUUUGAGUAUUUUAGGGAUGCUAUUGGCCAGUGUCACAACUUACCAACACAAAGGGGGAGAUAAGGUGUCUUCAGUUUUCAGCUGUAACAAAAAAAAUAAAGUUUAAAAUAAC
Pelobates cultripes (western spadefoot toad) is the source of this 736-nucleotide non-coding RNA. The record is from the annotation of a GenBank genome assembly. NCBI's taxonomy places the organism in Eukaryota, Metazoa, Chordata, Amphibia, Anura, Pelobatidae.